RNAcentral lists this ribosomal RNA (440 nucleotides) under uncultured bacterium. RNAcentral's name for it is "partial 16S ribosomal RNA". It matches the Rfam family "Bacterial small subunit ribosomal RNA", at positions 338 to 795 of the family's 1533-position model. The record is from RNAcentral.
CCUACGGGCGGCAGCAGUGGGGAAUAUUGCACAAUGGGGGCAACCCUGAUGCAGCGACGCCGCGUGAGCGAUGAAGUCUUUCGGUAUGUAAAGCUCUAUCAGCAGGGAAGAAAAUGACGGUACCUGACUAAUAAGCCCCGGCUAACUACGUGCCAGCAGCCGCGGUAAUACGGAGGGGGCAAGCGUUAUCCGGAUUUAAUGGUGGAAGAGGUAGCGUAGACGGCUGUGCAAGCCAGAUGUGAAAGCCCGGGGCUCAACCCCGGGACUGCAUUUGGAACUGUGUGGCUGGAGUGUCGGAGAGGCAGGCGGAAUUCCUAGUGUAGCGGUGAAAUGCGUAGAUAUUAGGAGGAACACCAGUGGCGAAGGCGGCCUGCUGGACGAAGACUGACGUUGAGGCUCGAAAGCGUGGGGAGCAAACAGGAUUAGAUACCCUUGUAGUC